AGAGCAGCUGUGGCCAACACACACCUUUGACGUCCGCAGGACCCCUAGUGACUUCUCUCUCGCAGUUCAGGAACCUGACUGAGAAUAGACCCCAUUCCAUUGUUACCUUUGUUUCCCCCCAACUUAUAAGAAACUAGGGGGCUUUCCUUGGCAUCCUGAUUCAAUGCAGCUACCCAAAUGAAAAGAAUACACUUUAUUUGGGCAGACAGGAAAACACUCCACCUUCCCUUAUUGCAGCCACCCUACUUCGUUCCUAAGCCAACUCCAACUCAGAUCAAAUGAUUACGAAAAAACCUGGUCAUUUACAGGAAACAUUACUCAAGAACAAAUUUUCUAGUUUCUCUUUCAUAAGCGAAAUCACCACAAAGCCCAGCUCAAGUUCGAGUACCUCCGUGAUCUUCUGUUCCCCUCCUGUUCUCCUUCUGGACAGAAUCACCAGCAUAAUUCACACGGACUUCUCCUCUCAUCUCCCACAGGUCGUUAGACUGGAUAUAUUGUAUUGACUUCUGCCUCCAUUAUUCCCCCAGCACUUUCAUUACCACUGUCAGGAAUGGGUUUCAGAAACCACAAAAAAUUUCACGGAAGAGACAGGAAAAGAAACUCUUGAAAGAAUUUCACACCGAAUGGAAAAGUUCCUUCUAGUCGUCUUCGAGUGAACUAGUUCGCAAACAUUAUUCUCUGUAGUCUUCCUGAGAACUCAGACUACUGGUGUGACCCUGCUUGGAAUAUGACUGCUGGAUUCUAGCAAUGUGUUGAUCCUGGCCCCAAGACCCGCCUACGAAAAUGAUUAUUUUAACCCUGAGGACCUAGAUGUGGCCAGUCUUUGUUGGGACCACUGUUGUCAUCGUCAUCGUCACCAUCUAACACCGGCUUUUAUCAAGGGUUGCUCCCUGAGCCUGGAUGCCAAUCAUUCACCUCUCCUUGGCAAAAGUAAUAAAUCAUAGCAAGAAACUGACUGCUUUUGAAGAAUAUAGAAGAUAAAGAAACUGAGUGUUUGAGAACUGGAAGGUGGCAAAAAGCAGCAGGAGGCGAAGAGGAAAAGAUCAAGUGGAAAGAGUCAGCACCAUGUGUACUUUGCUCAGCUCGGAACUUGAACCCUUCUACAGAGAUCACGUCUGUCUGAGCCUCUUGAAUUGCCAACCUUGUGAUAAACAAUAGGUAAACGUAUCCAGGGAGAAACAGGGCAACACCAAGGAGACAACAGGGCCAUAGGACAGGUUCCAGGUACAGCUGAAGGGCCAUCUGGACACCCACUCCCACCCACUUUCGUCAGAGUCACCAAGCACAGUGGGGGGUCGGGAUGGAGCCACAGGCGCUGACAGAGUAGUGACUCCCCCACAACUUCCUCCUUCCUGCCCAGCUCAGCCUGUUUACUCAGCAGACUUGUCUGGUGUAAAGCUCUCAUCUUCCCCACAACCGGCCCCAUUUCUCCACCACCUUCCCAUACCACACAUAGCUGUAUUUCUUAAGGGAGAGAUUUUUCUUUUUACGUUAGCUGUAGACAGCAACCAAAGGUAAAUAACAAUUUGUCUAUAUUUUAUUAUUCGAUUCCUUAAAGAGGUUUCACUUCCUUUCUUGGGAGCAGUGAGCCAAGCAUGAAUAGGUUUUGUGGACACUAAGUCUCAAGUUUGACUGUGACUCCACUUUGGCACUCUACCUGACCUUCUCCGGUAGUGCCAGGCACCUGACUUACCUUAUUAAGUUAAUUAAAGUUUGGCUACUAAUGA
This is a long non-coding RNA of Neofelis nebulosa (Clouded leopard), 1727 nucleotides long. RefSeq lists it as uncharacterized. The transcript is spliced from 5 exons. Lineage: Eukaryota; Metazoa; Chordata; Mammalia; Carnivora; Felidae. The record is from RefSeq and is a predicted model, not a curated record.